GUCGGGAUAGCUCAGAUGGUAGAGCAGAG
RNAcentral lists this transfer RNA (29 nucleotides) under Glaucium squamigerum. Its description in RNAcentral is "partial tRNA-Phe". Lineage: Eukaryota; Viridiplantae; Streptophyta; Magnoliopsida; Ranunculales; Papaveraceae. The record is from RNAcentral.